UUCUCUCUCUCUAGGGUUUUUCUCUCUCUAGAGAAAAGCCGCCGAUUCGCGCCGUUUUCGCGCCGCGCUCGUUGCUUGCUGAUAGGAGGACUCAAGGGAAGUCUUUGGCACGUGGGGAGAAGGAGUUUUGCUGUGUUUCUUGUGAGGUUAUCACCAGGAAAGGCUGAAUCUCAGCUUUAGAGAGGGUUUCGAACCAUUUUGAGCUAAUUGGAUGACCUUGGGGACUGUCUCGAAGUGUUCUAGAAGUGUUCUAACCUGAGGUUGCAGCGGGCUUGCAACGGACCUUCGAAUUACCUCCGGCUGAUACGUGAGGGAUUUUGGAAGCUUAA
Molecule: long non-coding RNA, 329 nt
Organism: Ananas comosus (pineapple)
Lineage: Eukaryota; Viridiplantae; Streptophyta; Magnoliopsida; Poales; Bromeliaceae
Exons: 3
Source: RefSeq, a predicted model, not a curated record